Molecule: ribosomal RNA, 1406 nt
Filed under: Klebsiella pneumoniae
Lineage: Bacteria; Pseudomonadati; Pseudomonadota; Gammaproteobacteria; Enterobacterales; Enterobacteriaceae
Description: bacterial SSU rRNA
Rfam family: Bacterial small subunit ribosomal RNA
Source: RNAcentral
ACACAUGCAGUCGAGCGGUAGCACAGAGAGCUUGCUCUCGGGUGACGAGCGGCGGACGGGUGAGUAAUGUCUGGGAAACUGCCUGAUGGAGGGGGAUAACUACUGGAAACGGUAGCUAAUACCGCAUAAUGUCGCAAGACCAAAGUGGGGGACCUUCGGGCCUCAUGCCAUCAGAUGUGCCCAGAUGGGAUUAGCUAGUAGGUGGGGUAACGGCUCACCUAGGCGACGAUCCCUAGCUGGUCUGAGAGGAUGACCAGCCACACUGGAACUGAGACACGGUCCAGACUCCUACGGGAGGCAGCAGUGGGGAAUAUUGCACAAUGGGCGCAAGCCUGAUGCAGCCAUGCCGCGUGUGUGAAGAAGGCCUUCGGGUUGUAAAGCACUUUCAGCGGGGAGGAAGGCGUUAAGGUUAAUAACCUUGGCGAUUGACGUUACCCGCAGAAGAAGCACCGGCUAACUCCGUGCCAGCAGCCGCGGUAAUACGGAGGGUGCAAGCGUUAAUCGGAAUUACUGGGCGUAAAGCGCACGCAGGCGGUCUGUCAAGUCGGAUGUGAAAUCCCCGGGCUCAACCUGGGAACUGCAUUCGAAACUGGCAGGCUAGAGUCUUGUAGAGGGGGGUAGAAUUCCAGGUGUAGCGGUGAAAUGCGUAGAGAUCUGGAGGAAUACCGGUGGCGAAGGCGGCCCCCUGGACAAAGACUGACGCUCAGGUGCGAAAGCGUGGGGAGCAAACAGGAUUAGAUACCCUGGUAGUCCACGCCGUAAACGAUGUCGAUUUGGAGGUUGUGCCCUUGAGGCGUGGCUUCCGGAGCUAACGCGUUAAAUCGACCGCCUGGGGAGUACGGCCGCAAGGUUAAAACUCAAAUGAAUUGACGGGGGCCCGCACAAGCGGUGGAGCAUGUGGUUUAAUUCGAUGCAACGCGAAGAACCUUACCUGGUCUUGACAUCCACAGAACUUUCCAGAGAUGGAUUGGUGCCUUCGGGAACUGUGAGACAGGUGCUGCAUGGCUGUCGUCAGCUCGUGUUGUGAAAUGUUGGGUUAAGUCCCGCAACGAGCGCAACCCUUAUCCUUUGUUGCCAGCGGUUCGGCCGGGAACUCAAAGGAGACUGCCAGUGAUAAACUGGAGGAAGGUGGGGAUGACGUCAAGUCAUCAUGGCCCUUACGACCAGGGCUACACACGUGCUACAAUGGCAUAUACAAAGAGAAGCGACCUCGCGAGAGCAAGCGGACCUCAUAAAGUAUGUCGUAGUCCGGAUUGGAGUCUGCAACUCGACUCCAUGAAGUCGGAAUCGCUAGUAAUCGUAGAUCAGAAUGCUACGGUGAAUACGUUCCCGGGCCUUGUACACACCGCCCGUCACACCAUGGGAGUGGGUUGCAAAAGAAGUAGGUAGCUUAACCUUCGGGAGGG